GUCUCGUGGGCUCGGAGAUGUGUAUAAGAGACAGCAAGACAACCAGGAGGUUGGCUUAGAAGCAGCCAUCCUUUAAAGAUAGCGUAACAGCUCACUGGUCUAAUUAAGUUGUCCUGCGGCGAAGAUGUAACGGGGCUCAAGCCAUGAGCCGAAACUUCGGAUGCAUUUAAUUGCAUGGUAGCGGAGCGUAGUGUGACAUAGUUCCAUGCGUCUUUAACUUCCUUUUGGAAGUAUUGGACGCAAGGAGCUUUCUGUGAAGCCGGCCUGUGAGGGAUCCGGUGGAGAGAUCACUAGUGAGAAUGAUGACAUGAGUAACGACAAAGGGGGUGAGAGACCCCCUCGCCGAAAAUCCAAGGGUUCCUGCUUAAAGCUAAUCUGAGCAGGGUGAGCCGGCCCCUAAGCCGAGGGCGAAAGCCGUAGGCGAUGGGAACCAGGUUAAUAUUCCUGGGCCAGGAGGAAGUGACGGAUCAUGAAGAUUGUUGGAUCAGGCGUAGUUGCCCCAGCAGUUAAUUGGUUCCUGGAAAUAGCCCUCCAUCAGACCGUACCCUAAACCGACACAGGUGGAUAGGUAGAGAAUACCAAGGCGCUUGAGAGAACUACGUUGAAGGAACUCGGCAAAAUACCUCCGUAAGUUCGCGAGAAGGAGGCCCAGUUUCUACGCAAGUAUUGGCUGGGGGCACAAACCAGGGGGUGGCGACUGUUUACUAAAAACACAGGGCUCUGCGAAGUCGCAAGACGACGUAUAGGGUCUGACGCCUGCCCGGUGCCUGAAGGUUAAAAGGAGGGGUGAGAGCUCCGAAUUGAAGCCCAGGUAAACGGCGGCCGUAACUAUAACGGUCCUAAGGUAGCGAAAUUCCUUGUCGGGUAAGUUCCGACCUGCACGAAUGGCGUAACGACUUCCCCGCUGUCUCCAACAUAGACUCAGUGAAAUUGAAUUGCCUGUCAAGAUGCAGGCUUCCCGCGGUUAGACGGAAAGACCCCGUGCACCUUUACUACAACUUUACACUGAUAACAGGCACAACAUGUGCAGAAUAGGUGGUAGGCUUUGAAGCAGGGACGCCAGUCCUUGUGGAGCCUCCUUUGAGAUACCACCCUUAUUUUGCUUGUUAUCUAACUGCGGUCCGUUAUCCGGAUCCAGGACCCUGUAUGGUGGGUAGUUUGACUGGGGCGGUCGCCUCCUAAAGCGUAACGGAGGCGCGCGAAGGUUGGCUCAGAGCGGUCGGAAAUCGCUCGUUGAGUGCAAUGGCAGAAGCCAGCCUGACUGUGAGACUGACAAGUCGAGCAGAGUCGAAAGACGGCCAUAGUGAUCCGGUGGUCCCGAGUGGAAGGGCCAUCGCUCAACGGAUAAAAGGUACGCCGGGGAUAACAGGCUGA
RNAcentral lists this ribosomal RNA (1374 nucleotides) under seawater metagenome. RNAcentral describes it as "bacterial LSU rRNA". It matches the Rfam family "Bacterial large subunit ribosomal RNA", at positions 1044 to 2485 of the family's 2925-position model. The record is from RNAcentral.